Molecule: ribosomal RNA, 160 nt
Filed under: uncultured bacterium
Lineage: Bacteria
Description: partial 16S ribosomal RNA
Rfam family: Bacterial small subunit ribosomal RNA
Source: RNAcentral
CGCCCUUCCUACGGGAGGCAGCAGUGGGGAAUUUUGGACAAUGGGCGCAAGCCUGAUCCAGCCAUGCCGCGUGCGGGAAGAAGGCCUUCGGGUUGUAAACCGCUUUUGUUCAGGGAAGAAAUCUUCUGGGUUAAUACCUCGGGAGGAUGNCGUNCCGAAG